Molecule: ribosomal RNA, 722 nt
Filed under: uncultured archaeon
Lineage: Archaea
Description: bacterial SSU rRNA
Rfam family: Archaeal small subunit ribosomal RNA
Source: RNAcentral
AAACUGAGGAUAAUACUGGAUAGGCAAUUAUUCCUGCAAUGGGUUUUUGUUUAAAUGUUUUUUCGCCUAAGGAUGGGUCUGCGGCCGAUUAGGUAGUUGGUUAGGUAAUGGCUUACCAAGCCGUUGAUCGGUACGGGUUGUGAGAGCAAGAGCCCGGAGAUGGAACCUGAGACAAGGUUCCAGGCCCUACGGGGUGCAGCAGGCGCGAAACCUCCGCAAUGUGAGAAAUCGCGACGGGGGGAUCCCAAGUGCCAUUCUUAACGGGAUGGCUUUUCAUUAGUGUAAAGAGCUCUUGGAAUAAGGGCUGGGCAAGACCGGUGCCAGCCGCCGCGGUAACACCGGCAGCUCUAGUGGUAGCAGUUUUUAUUGGGCCUAAAGCGUCCGUAGCCGGUUUAAUAAGUCUCUGGUGAAAUCCUGUAGCUUAACUGUGGGAAUUGCUGGAGAUACUAUUAGACUUGAGACCGGGAGAGGUUAGAGGUACUCCCAGGGUAGAGGUGAAAUUCUGUAAUCCUGGGAGGACCGCCUGUUGCGAAGGCGUCUAACUGGAACGGUUCUGACGGUGAGGGACGAAAGUUAGGGGCGCGAACCGGAUUAGAUACCCGGGUAGUCCUAACCGUAAACGAUGCGGACUUGGUGUUGGGGUGGCUUUGAGCUGCUCCAGUGCCGAAGGGAAGCUGUUAAGUCCGCCGCCUGGGAAGUACGGUCGCAAGACUGAAACUUAA